RNAcentral lists this ribosomal RNA (254 nucleotides) under uncultured bacterium. Its description in RNAcentral is "partial 16S ribosomal RNA". It matches the Rfam family "Bacterial small subunit ribosomal RNA", at positions 100 to 353 of the family's 1533-position model. The record is from RNAcentral.
GACGGGUGAGUAACGCGUGGGUAACCUGCCUUAUACAGGGGGAUAACAGUCAGAAAUGGCUGCUAAUACCGCAUAAGCGCACAGAGCUGCAUGGCUCAGUGUGAAAAACUCCGGUGGUAUAAGAUGGACCCGCGUUGGAUUAGCUAGUUGGUGGGGUAACGGCCCACCAAGGCGACGAUCCAUAGCCGGCCUGAGAGGGUGAACGGCCACAUUGGGACUGAGACACGGCCCAGACUCCUACGGGAGGCAGCAUG